Molecule: long non-coding RNA, 246 nt
Filed under: Lathyrus oleraceus (garden pea)
Lineage: Eukaryota; Viridiplantae; Streptophyta; Magnoliopsida; Fabales; Fabaceae
Description: Pisum sativum (pea) long non-coding RNA (PSAT_LNC041934)
Source: RNAcentral
AAAAAAAAAGAAAAAGAAAAGAAAAACAAGAAAUGCCUGAACCGAGAAUAAAGAAAGAGGUUCGUGGUUUCUUAGAUAGAUUGAACUACAUGUCAUGGUUCACAUCUCACCUAACAGCCACGUGGGAACCCAUUCAAGAAAAAAAAAAGAUCAAACGGUCAGGUGAAAUAAUGAUUGCCAAGGGGCAUUGAAAAUAAAAGAAUAAGUUGCAGGAACCUCUGAUUCUGAUACCUCCUUGUGGAGGGA